UUACGGCCAUAUCAUGUUGAAACACCGGUUCUCAUACAAACAUCGAAGUUAAGCAACAUAAAGAUUAGUACCGAGAUGGAUGGCCGCUUGGGAAUACCAGGUGCUGUAAG
This is a non-coding RNA of Acanthosepion pharaonis, 110 nucleotides long. NCBI's taxonomy places the organism in Eukaryota, Metazoa, Mollusca, Cephalopoda, Sepiida, Sepiidae. The record is from the annotation of a GenBank genome assembly.